AUGCUGACAGANAACUUCCAUUCAAGCCGGCAAAACCCGCCUGCGGGCUCUCAGAAGGCCCGAGAGCUGCCAGGCCUUCAACACAGCCGACGCGCAGGAGGUGGAUGGCUGGAUCCCACGAGGAGGCUUUUCUCCCNACAACGGCCCCAACGUCCUUCUGGCGCCCAAACCCCACUGCCCCGUUUGGGCCCCUCGGCCGCACUGCGCAGGAGAGGAGAAGGACCCCUUGCCGGGCGGGGCAGCUGGGCUUGCGAAGCGCGGAUGGGAUGGGCGGGGUCUGCCCGCACGCUCGCCUGUCCCUUUGGCAGAGGCGCCUGGGCAGUUUGCUUGUCCCAGGCAGGGAGGAGAGCUUUUACCCNGCUGCUACUGUCGGAAGACAAAAGGUUCGUGCAAUAUUUAGGUGGUUCUCUGCCUCCUUUCGCCUUGACCUGGCCUGCACUUGCUGGAUUCCUGGCUUUAGGCGAGAGACCCUGGGCGGAAAUGUUCCGGGACCUUCCCGGGGAACCUUGGUGCGUUCCAUUUGCUUACACUCCUAUCCUGCCCUAUACCCAAAAGUCUCAGGGCAUCUCACAACAAAAACACUAUAAAACCCGACAAAAUAGACGGCAAAACCGGGCGAGAAAUGGGGGUGGCCCAUGGUGUGGAGGCGGCGGGCGGCCCAAGGCUUGUGUUGCACGCACGCCCGAUCUCGCCUGCACUGCCUUCCGCUUCAGGGCGCAGCUCCCCAAGCCCUGGCGACUCCAGAUUUGGCUGGAGCGGCGUGUGGCUGCUGGNGUCCGGCACAGCCUCGUCCCACAGCAUCCCAGAGUGGCGGAGGGCAGCAGCUGGCCCUGGCACAGGGCAGCGUCUGCACAAGCCGAAGGACUGGCUCUUCACCCUCCUCGGCAUCACCCAGACGUGGCAUUUCUCGCCAUCUCAAUGCCUCUGGAACCCGCUAGUUGGGGGGGUCAGGCUCCUAGCCAGCUCCAUAUAUAUAGGGGGGGGCAACAUAAAUUUGGGGGUGAAUGA
Molecule: long non-coding RNA, 1008 nt
Filed under: Salvator merianae (Argentine black and white tegu)
Lineage: Eukaryota; Metazoa; Chordata; Lepidosauria; Squamata; Teiidae
Description: lncRNA (ENSSMRG00000000888.1)
Source: RNAcentral